GAAUCAAAGCACAGGCAGCCUUGAAGCUGGUGGCUACAGUCAGUGACAGGGGUGCUCUGAGAGGGGAAGAAGGUAGCAGCUAAGCUAAGACCUGAGGAGAGGAUGAGCAGGGACAGGCCAAGGCUGACAGGGAAAAGUGUUCCAGGCAUGGGGAAAAGCAUGUAGAGAAAUCUGAGUCCUGUCACACCCUCUGCACUCGCUGAGCUUCUUGACCUGCUGGACAGCAGAACAAUUUCUUCAUCAGCAGCUAAACAGGUGUUUGAGGAACUGUGGAAGAGGGAAGGCAAGACUCCAGGGCAGAUUGUUUCAGAAAAGCAGCUUGAACUGAUGCAGGACCAGGGGGCACUGGAGCAGCUCUGCCACUCUGUGAUGGAGGCCCAUCCUCAAGUGGUAAUGGAUGUGAAGAACAGAAACCCCAGAGCUAUAAAUAAACUGAUUGGGUUGGUCCGGAAAGCGACUCAAAGCCGAGCAGAUCCAGUCAUGAUAAAGGAGAUCCUGGAGAAGAAGCUGUCAUUGUGAGAUGUUUGGGAUCCCCUUGCCCAAGGGACAACAGUGCAGCCUGACUGGGAACAGGAUCCCGUGAAAGCUGAUGCCCAUGUGCCCUGAGAGCUGCCUCUCAAUCCCUGUCCCGAGCCACAGCUAUGGCGUUAAUGUCACCAGUGUUCUCACCCUCUAGGCCCUGUGCCUGGAGGUGCCUCCACAGCCGACCAGCAGCCACCCCGCCUGCUUCAUGCACAUCAGG
RNAcentral lists this small RNA (742 nucleotides) under Pan troglodytes (chimpanzee). RNAcentral describes it as "processed transcript". The record is from RNAcentral. Lineage: Eukaryota; Metazoa; Chordata; Mammalia; Primates; Hominidae.